Molecule: ribosomal RNA, 246 nt
Filed under: uncultured bacterium
Lineage: Bacteria
Description: partial 16S ribosomal RNA
Rfam family: Bacterial small subunit ribosomal RNA
Source: RNAcentral
UGCUCGAGUGGCGAACGGGUGAGUAACACGUGAGUAACCUGCCCUUGGACUUUGGGAUAACUUCAGGAAACUGGGGCUAAUACCGGAUAGGAGCUCCUGCUGCAUGGUGGGGGUUGGAAAGUUUCGGCGGUUGGGGAUGGACUCGCGGCUUAUCAGCUUGUUGGUGGGGUAGUGGCUUACCAAGGCUUUGACGGGUAGCCGGCCUGAGAGGGUGACCGGCCACAUUGGGACUGAGAUACGGCCCAG